Oncorhynchus keta (chum salmon) is the source of this 896-nucleotide long non-coding RNA. RefSeq lists it as uncharacterized. The transcript is spliced from 8 exons. The record is from RefSeq and is a predicted model, not a curated record. NCBI's taxonomy places the organism in Eukaryota, Metazoa, Chordata, Actinopteri, Salmoniformes, Salmonidae.
AUUUGAACAUUUGUGUGUCUGUGUCCGAGUGUGUAUUUCAUGAGACUGAGCUUGUGUGAGUUGGAACAUUUAAUUGUGUGCAUAGAGUAACCCAUGCUGAUGGCGCAGGCCAGCAUCCUGUGGCUGAUGGGAGAGUACAGUGAGGACUAACCCCUCUGUGUCUCCAGGUGCUGAUGGCGCAGGCCAGCAUCCUGUCGCUGAUGGGAGAGUACAGUGAGGACUAACCCCUCUGUGUCUCCAGGUGCUGAUGGCGCAGGCCAGCAUCCUGUGGCUGAUGGGAGAGUACAGUGAGGACUAACCCCUCUGUGUCUCCAGGUGCUGAUGGCGCAGGCCAGCAUCCUGUGGCUGAUGGGAGAGUACAGUGAGGACUAACCCCUCUGUGUCUCCAGGUGCUGAUGGCGCAGGCCAGCAUCCUGUGGCUGAUGGGAGAGUACAGUGAGGACUAACCCCUCUGUGUCUCCAGGUGCUGAUGGCGCAGGCCAGCAUCCUGUGGCUGAUGGGAGAGUACAGUGAGGACUAACCCCUCUGUGUCUCCAGGUGCUGAUGGCGCAGGCCAGCAUCCUGUGGCUGAUGGGAGAGUACAGUGAGGACUAACCCCUCUGUGUCUCCAGGUGCUGAUGGCGCAGGCCAGCAUCCUGUGGCUGAUGGGAGAGUACAGUGAGGACUAACCCCUCUGUGUCUCCAGGUGCUGAUGGCGCAGGCCAGCAUCCUGUGGCUGAUGGGAGAGUACAGUGAGGACUAACCCCUCUGUGUCUCCAGGUGCUGAUGGCGCAGGCCAGCAUCCUGUGGCUGAUGGGAGAGUACAGUGAGGACUAACCCCUCUGUGUCUCCAGGUGCUGAUGGCGCAGGCCAGCAUCCUGUGGCUGAUGGGAGAGUACAGUGAGGACUAACCCCUC